UGCAGAAGGGCUGGUGUUCAAUCGGGUUUCAUAUGCCUGACUCGGUGGGUUCGAUUCCCACUUCUGCAACCA
Molecule: transfer RNA, 72 nt
Filed under: Bacillus haynesii
Lineage: Bacteria; Bacillati; Bacillota; Bacilli; Caryophanales; Bacillaceae
Description: tRNA-OTHER
Source: RNAcentral